RNA transcript from Panicum virgatum (switchgrass), 3616 nucleotides. RefSeq lists it as uncharacterized. NCBI's taxonomy places the organism in Eukaryota, Viridiplantae, Streptophyta, Magnoliopsida, Poales, Poaceae. The record is from RefSeq and is a predicted model, not a curated record. The transcript has 3 exons.
UAUUUCGACGGGCACGAGCCCCCUCGCCUCAUCUGGCCCCGUGCGGCGGCGGCGACGACUCCACCUGACCUGGCCUGCGGCGACGACUCCUCAAUCCUCAUCUGUACUUCUCUGACCGUCGGGUAUCGGCCAGAUCCGUGGGGGCGCCGUGUUCUGCGGAGGACCUAGAUCGCAUCGCGUGCGAUGCCGCGCGACUUGUCACGGUCGCGUUCUCCGCCGCGCCGGCGGCAGCGGUCGCCGUCCCCCGCGCGGUACCGCGGCCGGAGAGGGCGCCGGGACCGAAGCCCAAGCCCCGUCCGUAGCAGAUCCCCCUAUCGCCCCGCGUAUAGGUGACCUCAGCUACACUCUCGCACCACCACAGAAAUCUGGCGACUCUUUUCUUUAUUUAUUUAUUUAGGUUGUAUACUGUAAAAAAACAUGAGGUGUUGCUAGUCCGCUUAUGGAAUUUUUAUACUGUACAGUUUAUUUGAUGGAAAUGGGACGUGCGCUUCUGCAUAUAGUUAUUGGAUCUAUCAAUUAUUGUUUGAGCUAGCUAGUGUGGUAGUAUGUUGUGGUAUACCAUAUUUCAAUCAAUUAUUUUUUCUAUGAACAUGUGUGAUGUUGACCAUGCUUGAGAACGAUACAGAUUCCCAGGAAAAAAAUUACUUUGGUUCCUUUGCUGUGCAGAGUGAAUAUCAACAUGUAAUGUGCAGAUGAUGCUUAGAUAUAGUUAUGCCAUGUUUUGCUUUACUUGCUUGUACGGACUAACAAGAGUUGCUUUCAUAAAAAGCAUGGAAUCCACAAAGAUUUUACUUUGAUGUAUUGCUGUGGAAUGCUCCACCCCCAAAGGUUAUUGUAACAGUGUCUGAGGUAACUGCUACCGCCCGCAUUUUGGGGCUUCAAGAGCUGACGGUAAUUGCUUGUUUAAUGUUGUUGUGCCCCUAGUUUUAUUCUCACAGGGCUAAUCUUUGUACUGCAGAAGGAGAAGCCCUUCACCUUCCCCAAGAAGGCGCAAGAGCCAUUCUCCGUCUCCUAGGAGGCGCAAGAGUCAGUCUCCAUCACAAAAUCGUUACAGAAGAAAGAGAAGUCCGAGUGUCACUAGCUCUCCAAUCACCGCAUCUCAAAGUUCCCACCUUGGGUUGGCAGAAAAUAAGAAUGCUACUGAUAAGCAAAGGCUAGAAGAAAAGAAAAGGUGGGAAGUACCUGCUUUGCUACAUAGUCCAGAUUAUUCCUUCUACAGACCAAACUAUUAACUGCUGCGCCAUUUCCUGUACCUCUUCUUUGAUGUUGAUAAUGAAUUUAUACUAAUAUAGCUGCUGUUUGCACCAGAGUGUUUUUCAAGGUCAACUCUAUUUGACAAGCUGUCUAUCUAUUUUUCAAAGUUUCAGAUUACAUCAGCUGCCAUUUUAUUAUUGCUUUUUCAAAAUAAUAAUGAAAAAAAUACUUGAGAAAAUGAGAAUACGAAUAUUGGAUAAGGAUCACUUUGGUUUAAAGACAACUGCAAUUCCAAGUUUUGAAUUCAGUAGGAGUUCCUGCUUUGCUAGAAAUUGUAGCUUUCGGUGUAGCUAACUCCAAAGAAAUCAUCUGUGGUGGACAUAAUGCAUUGUAAUUGUCCUGUCAGAAAAGAGCAUUGAAAAUAAGUUGUUUAUUCUCAAUGUGUUGGAUGUAACAAAAUAGUUUGUAACUCUGUCCACAAAUUGAAUCCGUUUCCGAGUAAAAUAGUAUUUUGUGUAGGUACUCGUGCAGUUUGUUUAGAAUUUGAGUUUCGGUGUGUUGAAUUAGUAUCUGUGUUCCAACAGUUAAUCAAAACAUUUCUAUUUAUUCCAUGAAGUUUAUUUUGAACAUUUUCUUUAACAGUGCUCAAUAGAAUUUUGUGAAAUUAGCUGUACUACUCAUUACCUGUGAAAUUUUGUAUUGUUUUUUUUUGUGUUUAAGCUGAUAUCUACAGUAGAACCACUUCUUGAUUUUUUUAGUGACUUAUAUAUUUGAGCAGAGAUAAGUUGUUGCCAGGAUUACAUCAUAUGCUGCUUGAAAAGAAAUCUUAUGGUCACAGCUAUUCAGUUACGUUUGCUUUUGUCAUGUAGUUGAACUGUUUUUUUGUAGGAAAUAAUCUCAUCUGUCUGUUUAUGUUUAUUUGAGUGCCAUUGGAGUGGUUUUCUUUUCGGUAUAAAAGUUACUUAGUAUUACUCAAUCAUUUUUUUGAAGAAAUAGUAUUACUAAAUCAUUAGUGCCCAUUAUUCUUGGCUUCACUUACUGUGUGAUAAAUUCUCUGUAAAGACAAUCAUUUUAGCUUGGUUGUAGUACAAUAGUUUGGGAAUGUGUAUGUUGGUUUGAUCACUGCACUGUCAUGAUAUUUUAGAAGUAGUCCAAAAGGCCUGCAUGACAACUAUCGACUGUGGUGUCAUCUCAGUUCACUUCUUCAUGUUCUAAAUCUAUAAUGCAGUGAGAUUUAGCUUGUUUCUGUUAAAUUUAUUUAAGCCAUAGUGAUAGCCUGUCAUUUCGAAGUGUCCAAAAAUCAUUCUCCUGCUGCAGUUCCAAUUACAAGUAUUGUAUAAUUGCUUUGAAGUUUGAACAUUCACUUUGAUUGGGCAUGUAGCAUGCAAGAAUAUGCUUCAGCUGGAAUAUUGAAAUGCUUCAUGACAAACUCUAAAACUGCCACAAGUUACUUUGACAUUCUUCUCUACAGGUUUUACCAAAGGAAGCUACUGCUAUAGUUCCACUUGUUAUAUUUGAUGAUGCAAUUGGUGAUCCUUUAUCUACUCUUGACCAGUUUUGAUAAUUCGUUUUUGGAUCUGGAACGUACUAGAGGCGACAAAAAGAAGUUGAACUGAGACUAUUAGAGGAGGAAACGGCAAAAAGAGUUGAGCAAGCUAUUAGGAAAAAAGUUGAGGAGAGUUUGAAUCGUGAGGAAAUUAAGCAUGAAAUACAACGACGAAUUGAGGAAGGGCGAAAAAGGAUACAUGAGGAGGUAGCAAUCCAGAUUGAGAAAGAAAAGGAGGCAGCUUUAAAUGAAGCCAAGCAGAAAGCGGAACGAGAAAAACAGGAGCGGGAGGAGCAAGAGAAGAAGCUUGAAGAAGAACGAAAGAAAGCUGAAGAGGCAUUGAUGAAAGAAGCGAUGGAACAGCAGCAGAAAGAGCUAGAGCGGUAUCAGGAGCUGGAGAGGCUUCAGAAAGAAAGGGAGGAGGCCAUGAAGCGGAAACAGAUGGAGGAGGAGCAGCAGAGGCAGAACCAGAUGAAGCUGCUGGGCAAGAACAAGUCGCGGCCAAAACUGUCGUUUGCUCUUGGAAUGAAGUAGCAUCUGGCUCAUCGGAGUAAAACUAGCAUUUUAAUUCAUCUGUAACUGCAAAUCUGUGUAUGAAAGCGCCCAUGUGUUCCGCAGACAAUUUGCAAUGUGUUAAUUGAUCUUGAUCUGCUGCGUGAGGUGGGGUUCAGGGAUGCGUGAGAGGUCUUCUUACAUUAAUGCUCGGGGGUGGCUUGCCCGAGUUUUUUCCGUGAGGUGUACCUCUCAAUAUUCUUCAGCCACUCCUUUUCUGUUUCGUUGAACAUUGCGUAGGGACAAAACUGCCUCCAUAUGUAAGAGUAUAGUUGACUGACAAACUUUUAAUUGCUUGAAUGCAAAAGAUUUGGCAGGGCUUCA